AACGAACGCUGGCGGCAUGCCUAACACAUGCAAGUCGAACGAGACCUUCGGGGCUAGUUGCGCACGGGUGCGUAACGCCGGGUAACCUGCCCUUAGGUACGGUAUAACUCACCGGAAGGGGUGCUUAUAACGGAUUAUGUCAUCGGGCAAAAGAUUUAUCGCUUCUGGAUGGGUGCGCGUUGGGUUAGAUAGUUGGUAGGCUAGAAGCCUAUCAAGGCGAUGAGGCAUAGCUGGUCUGAGAGGAUGAUCAGCCACACUGUGAGUGAGACACGGACGAGACUCCUACGGGAGGCCGGAGUGGGGAAUAAUGGACGCUGGGCGAGAGAAUGAGGCAGCAGUGCCGCGUAGGUGAUGAAGGCCUGAGGGUUGAAAAGCUCUUUUAAAAGGGAAGAUAAUGACAGUACCGGAAGAAUAAGCGCCGGCUAACUACGUG
RNAcentral lists this ribosomal RNA (433 nucleotides) under uncultured bacterium. Its description in RNAcentral is "partial 16S ribosomal RNA". It matches the Rfam family "Bacterial small subunit ribosomal RNA", at positions 29 to 507 of the family's 1533-position model. The record is from RNAcentral.